Long non-coding RNA from Osmia bicornis bicornis, 2662 nucleotides. RefSeq lists it as uncharacterized. The record is from RefSeq and is a predicted model, not a curated record. The transcript has 3 exons. Lineage: Eukaryota; Metazoa; Arthropoda; Insecta; Hymenoptera; Megachilidae.
ACUUGUUUCAUCUACAGAGUGUGUGAUCGUUAUAAAAUUUCAUCAAUGAUUUUUAAAAAAUCAAGUGAUCAAUUUAACGUAACAGCAAUAUUCCUACGUUUAAGCCUUGCCAAUGGAAUAAAAUUUGUUUCUGAAAAAUAAAAUCUUUCCUGGCGCUCGAACUUAAUUUAAUCAUCCGGUACGAAGUUUAUCAGAAGGGAAUAUGCACGUCGAGCUAUGCAAAACGAAUGCUAUACAUGACAGAAUAAAAUAAAAUAUGCAAAGCACGAGAGAUAAAAGAUAUUUAUUGAACAACUUGAGAGAGAAUAAAUAUUCUCCUCGAAUGUAGAUUUGCAUAGCAACAUCGGCCUGGAUGGAAGAAUGGAGCAAAGUGUAAAUCGACUGCCUCUUUUUUUUUUUCAACCAAACCAACGCGUUCAAGGUGUAGUUCAUAUCCGAGUCUUUAGUUAAUUUAAUAAAUCCUUGAGUACGAUAAAACGAAUUUUCGUCCGGCGAGGAAGCAACAAAAGGAUCAACGAUGUUUUAUUCCGACGAACAGGACAUUUUGGUCGAUGAGUCGACGCCUGGGGCCAGCAUUGUCCGAAAGGUCUCGAGACGGAACGGAAUUAAAAUCAGAUGCACCUUUGGCAAGGUCGUUAUGUCAUCGGGCAACUAUUAAACCACUAGUUUUCAAGGGGAGCCGGUCUCGCCAAAAUCGUCUCGACCAGCUUCGCUCAAAAAUAUUUUUCCUCCGUAAAAAGUGUCACGAAUGCAGACGAAAACUAUAAUAGCCUUCAUUGGAAUUUCCAAAAAAUGUCUCAUUAGUCCAAGUGAUUGCUGGAUUUAUCUGAUCCUCUUUCUUUUCCCCCCCAUGGAUGACGGACCAUGGAGAGAGCCCCAAUUUUUAUUCAGAUUCUUAUCACACUGUUCUUUUUAAAAAUUAUUCUUUCAAUAUACGAAUCUCUGGUUUAAAAAAUAUGUUUUGUAAGUCUGGGUCAUGAUUGACCCAGGUUCUGUUGUCCAAAGGUUAAAUACCGCUUGUCAGACCAAGUUUUUACUGAAAUUCCCCGACGCUAAUAUUUUUGUCUGUCUACCAAAAAAGAAAUCCUAGUUUUUCGAUUAAAAACGAAAGAUAUACUAUGCUGUGCUUGACAAUAAAAAUUCUGUUGGUUAAAGGGACAGGUUUUUUUUUUCCUCUGAUGCAGACACGCCGUCUGGCAAUCGUCUAGCAUUGCCGAUCAAGUAUCUCAGGUGUUUUUACGAUAUUUCAGCAUCGCUAUUUGCCCGCCUCCGUCGCCCGUACCUUCAGUUUGAUAGCUUUUCCAGAGAUUUUACCACCCUGACGGGCACAAAGUUUUACGAGGUCGUUGCUGGAUUUUAUAUCACGGCGCGAUGGUAGUUGGUCGAUGAGGAACGACUCGAUUCGCGCGUUGCUUUAUGAAAACAUAGCCCGUGAAAACGAGCCCUUUCCGACUUUCAACCUCCUCAAUUUUCCUUCAACGUUUACCUCAACUAUCCAUGAUUUGAGGAGACACUUUUCAGAAACGUUUCCCGAAGCAUUACAUCGUUACGAUCUCUUUAAAAGAUCGUUGAACACGAACAACGAUCGUUUUGAAGGAAAAUCAAGAUAAAAAAAUCCUUGUGUAAUCAUUAUCAAUAAACGCUGUUUCUAAAUUACUUUUAAUAUUAAUAUCGUCAAAAUUAUGGACGGUUCGCAAAAGAAUAUAAAAAUUGCAUAAUUGCAAAAUGCAUUUCCUAUUCAGGUGUAUUCAGGUCGAGAAGAGACAUAGAAAUAGGGUGAAAAAAAAAGAAGAAAAAUCCAAUUUACGAGAAAUGCAAAUCGGAAUAUAGCUUUAUAAUGGUUGUGUCCCUUGCGAAACGGCUUGGCUCCGGUUCUUAGCGCGUCCUUUCAUGAAUCUCGAACGGAAACGAAAGCGAGACACCGUCUCGUUACGGCCACUGUUAGAUCGAGAGUCGAUGCUGUCGUAUGUCUCUCCUGGGACAAUUUGCCGCCUCCUUUCUCGUUCCGUAAUUUUGAUAUUUAUCUUCAUUAGCGCGGCUGUGCGUCGAACGCGAGGAAACUGCUUUCGAAAUGCAUUCUAUUUUUCGUUUCUGAAUUUUUUUCUCAUUUUUAAUUGCUAACACUUUGAGGAAUAUCAAAUUUAUUUUCCUAUAGAGAAUAAACAAUAUUCAUUCUCCGUUACCUUUUCGCAACAUUUUAAAAUACCUUUCUGUAGCACAGAAAAGAAAAAUAAAUGAAUGACGCAAGGAAUAACGUCAAAGAAGGAACACAACUUGCAACGAUACAAGAUAGAUCGAAUCAGUAACAGGCUGCUUAACAUAUUCAUCAUUCCCACUUGAAAACAGCGUGUUAACCACCUGUGGCGACACAAAGAGCACCGUGUCGAGAAAAUCAUGCCGACAAGAGGUCUUGUACAGGGACGAGCAAACAACAGAGGAGAUCCACGCAUAGGUGAAAGUCGUUAUCUGUUACAUUAACGAGCAACCAGGCGUCAUGGGAUCACAGACAGUCCGAUGGGAAUCGUUUCGUAGCAUGGAAUUACCAUGGCGGAGCUGAUUCGGUCAUUAGAGACGACCAUUUGCCGCGAUUACGUUUCGAAAACGGAAGUCGUGACGAAACCGUGACUCGAAAGAGCAACGCGUCUUACCACUGACUUCUACU